UGCGUUGGCCCGGUCCUUUCGGUCUCGGAUUCCUCAGCCCCCAGCCCCCCGAGGCGGUCGGGAUCGGGCCUUUCGCAGCAGCCAAAUCCCCAUACUGGACCAACGCGAGUUGGUCCUUUU
RNAcentral lists this small RNA (120 nucleotides) under Rhodopseudomonas palustris BisB5. Its description in RNAcentral is "Bradyrhizobiaceae sRNA BjrC174". It matches the Rfam family "Bradyrhizobiaceae sRNA BjrC174", at positions 82 to 201 of the family's 201-position model. Lineage: Bacteria; Pseudomonadati; Pseudomonadota; Alphaproteobacteria; Hyphomicrobiales; Nitrobacteraceae. The record is from Rfam by way of RNAcentral.